This is a long non-coding RNA of Esox lucius (northern pike), 1409 nucleotides long. NCBI's taxonomy places the organism in Eukaryota, Metazoa, Chordata, Actinopteri, Esociformes, Esocidae. The record is from Ensembl.
GUUCUUAGCCUUGUGAUCUCAUAAUUACUGUUAUCAUUUCAUCUGAAAACUAAGUCAUUGUCCGAUGUUAGUGUAGAGCAGGAAGUGAACAUACCUGUAAAUUCCCACAGUAAAAUGUUUUUGGACAAAACACAAAAAUGUUUGACCUGAAACAAAGUCUGAUUAUUUCGUUGAGGUGAUUUUUUUUUGUAUGGAUUCCGUUAUGCACCAGCCUUUGUUAAAGUAUUGUCCAGAUCUUAGCAGGCAUCUUACUGUGAACAAACACAGCUUUCACAGCAUGCGUUGUUUUCAGAGAGAGAUGAAAAAUCCAUUCAGACCAUUAGCUUUUUUUUGUAUUCCUUGAAAAAAGCAGCCACAAAAAAACUCUAACCUUCUGUUUGCUAUCCCUUGUUUGCUAAUCUCCUCUGGAAUUUCUUUUCUGAGGAAAUAGAUUGUUUCUAAGUGUGGAUAAUAAUAAGCUCAAUGAAACUGUUCUUUACUUUUUCCAUUGACCGUUGAAGCAGAAGCAGAGUCCUUACUGUUACAAAGCCAUUCCUCAUCCACUGGAGAGGAUCAACACUAAUACAAUGAACUCAAAGAGGCACACGAUCCAUAGUAGUCUGUUGUAUAUUCAGACGUCCCAAAAUCUUGAUUGCUAGUAAGAGCAAGGGUUAGUGUGUCUGUGUGUGUGUGUGUGUUGGGGAUUGUGGGAGGGGAUUAUUAUGGGAAAACUAGUGAUUUCGGAGCAAUUCAUUCAUGCUGAAUUCCCCUGCUGUAAAAAAAAAAAAAUAUUAAACCAGUUUACAUUUUAAGCUGGUCCAUUCUGGUCUAUAUUGAGUUUUGGAUGGAUGCUGGUGAAGGUGGUCAUUUGAUAGCAGGUUUACCAUCAUGGUUUAUUUUGUUCUACUUGUGGCUAGCAUUUCCUGGGUUUUGGAUAUGCCAGCAUAUUGUUAUGAUAGUUGUAUGCUUAUGUUUGUUUACCACAAAGUUGCUUGUUGUUCCAGCUGGCCAAGUUGGUUGUUGUUCUAUCUUGCUGGUCAAGCUUAUUGUUUUUCUAUUUAGCUGAUCAAGAUGGUUUUUGUUUGAUCUUGAUGGUCAGUCUGGUUUAAUCUCAUUACUUUUCCCAGCAUGUUCAGUUUUUUUAGUUUUUGUGGUGUUUCAGGGCGAUAAAUUAUUAAACGAAUAUUAUGGUAAUCGGUAAAAUAACUGAAAAAUAAAUAAGCGUUGUGGCGUCGAAAUAUGCUUCAGAUCAUUGACUUGGAAGUGUCAGACUCCUGGCAAAGGCAAUCAUGUUUUGGGCAAAAUUAUCCUCAUGCUCAUUAAAGUUCAUAAAGCCUUUGAUGUUAACAAUGGCUCCAGGACCAAUGGAAGCCAAAUAGCCCUAUCACAUUAAUAUAUAUAGAUACAGGGAUAUACCACUGUAACAGUAC